GUAUAGAUGUGCGGGAGGAAAAACCCCCGCAUAAGUCGAAGGUGUGACGCGGACCGAAAAAGAGUAGGGAAGCUGUUAAGCAAGCCGUCAAGAAAAGCUGCUAUUGUUUCAUUAUGGCCCGUACCGUAAACCGACACAGGUGGAUGGGGAGAGAAUCCUAAGGCCGGCGGAAGAAGUAUUGUUAAGGAACUCGGCAAAAUGACCCCGUAACUUCGGGAGAAGGGGUGCCUGCGAGAGCAGGCCGCAGAGAAGAGGCCCAAGCAACUGUUUAGCAAAAACACAGGUCUAUGCAAAACCGAAAGGUGAGGUAUAUGGGCUGACGCCUGCCCGGUGCUGGAAGGUUAAGGGGAGUGGUCAGGAAACGAAGCCACGAACUUAAGCCCCAGUAAACGGCGGCCGUAACAAUAACGGUCCUAAGGUAGCGAAAUUCCUUGUCGGGUAAGUUCCGACCCGCACGAAAGGCGUAAUGAUUUGGGCGCUGUCUCGACAAUACAUCCGGUGAAAUUGAAGUGCCAGUGAAGAUGCUGGCUACCUGCGCCAGGACGGAAAGACCCCAUGGAGCUUUACUCCAGCUUGAUACUGGGACCCGGUAUUGCAUGUACAGGAUAGGUGGGAGGCUAGGAAAUGUGGACGCCAGUCUGCAUGGAGCCGCUGUUGGGAUACCACCCUUGUGGUGCUGGGUUUCUAACCAGAGGCCGUGAACCGGUCUGGGGACAAUGUCAGGUGGGGAGUUUGACUGGGGCGGUCGCCUCCGAAAGGGUAUCGGAGGCGCCCAAAGGUUCCCUCAGAAUGGUUGGAAACCAUUCGAAGAGUGCAAAGGCAGAAGGGAGCUUGACUGCGAAACCGACGGGUGGAGCAGGUACGAAAGUAGGGCUUAGUGAUCCGGUGGAAUUUAAGUGGGAAUGCCAUCGCUCAACGGAUAAAAGCUACCCUGGGAUAACAGGCUGAUCACUCCCAAGAGUUCACAUCGACGGAGUGGUUUGGCACCUCGAUGUCGGCUCAUCGCAUCCUGGGGCUGAAGUCGGUCCCAAGGGUUGGGCUGUUCGCCCAUUAAAGCGGUACGCGAGCUGGGUUCAGAACGUCGUGAGACAGUUCGGUCCCUAUCCGGCGUGGGCGUAGGAUAUCUGAGAGGAGCUGUCCUUAGUACGAGAGGACCGGGAUGGACUGACCUCUGGUGUACCGGUUGGCGAUCAACGCCACGGCCGGGUAGCCAUGUCGGGACGGGAUAAACGCUGAAGGCAUCUAAGCGUGAAGCCCCCCUCAAGAUGAGAUAUCCCAUCGUAAGAGUAAGACCCCUUGAAGACGACGAGGUUGAUAGGGCAGGGGUGGAAGUGCUGUAAGGCAUGGAGCUGACUGCUACUAAUCGGUCGAGGGCUUGACCG
This 1382-nucleotide ribosomal RNA is filed under the name metagenome. Its description in RNAcentral is "bacterial LSU rRNA". It matches the Rfam family "Bacterial large subunit ribosomal RNA", at positions 1519 to 2925 of the family's 2925-position model. The record is from RNAcentral.